Molecule: ribosomal RNA, 576 nt
Filed under: Triticum aestivum (bread wheat)
Lineage: Eukaryota; Viridiplantae; Streptophyta; Magnoliopsida; Poales; Poaceae
Description: partial small subunit ribosomal RNA
Source: RNAcentral
AUGGCAAAAUAUUUCUGGACCAGUUCUCUGGAUAAAAAAUCUAUGCAUUGGGUGUCCUGGGACGAGUUGGCCACACCUAAGUGCAAAGGAGGGAUGGGGUUCCGCGAACCACAUCAGUUUAAUCUUGCCAUGCUGGGCAAACAGGGUUGGCGAUUAAUGACAAACCCAACAUCGCUGUGUGCUAGAGUGCUCAAGGGCCGCUACUUUCCCGACAGAGAUUUUAUGCACGCAUCUGCUCCAAAGUCGGCCUCGGCCACUUGGAAGGCAAUCUUGGCGGGAAGGGAGGCUCUAGGGGCCGGGCUGAUCGCUCGAGUGGGAGAUGGCAGUACGAUCUCAGUAUGGAAUGACAAAUGGAUUGCUGGAACGAUCUCGAUGAAACCAAUCUUCAAACCGCCAAGUACCACCAUUCAAAUGGUGCAUGAGCUUAUUGAUACGACCACGUGGUUGUGGCGGCAAGAUGUGGUUAGGGACACUUUCGUCGCCCCAGACGCCGAUGCCACUACUAGAAAAAGGGCUAUAGAUGGGAUUGGCACUAAUGGCGCACCAGACAAGUGGUGCGCCAUUAGUAUAUACUAA